CUCAGUGAUAGCUGGUUCUCGCCGAAAUAUAUUUAGGUAUAGCCUCGGCCGUUUCUUACAGGGGGUAGAGCACUGACUGGGCUAGGGGUCUCACCAGAUUACCAAACCCUAUCAAACUCCGAAUACCUGUACAGUUAGGCCGGGAGACAGACUGCGAGUGAGAAGAUUCGCGGUCGAGAGGGAAAGAGCCCAGACCACCAACUAAGGUCCCAAAGACUACACUAAGUGGAAAACGUUGUGGGAGUGCAUAGACAGCCAGGAUGUUGGCUUAGA
This 273-nucleotide ribosomal RNA is filed under the name Foraminifera environmental sample. RNAcentral's name for it is "partial Bacterial large subunit ribosomal RNA". It matches the Rfam family "Bacterial large subunit ribosomal RNA", at positions 838 to 1110 of the family's 2925-position model. Lineage: Eukaryota; Foraminifera. The record is from RNAcentral.